AUUAAGAUGGCAGAGCCCGGUUAUUGCAUAAGACUUAAGAUCUUACUCUCAGAGGUUCAAAUCCUCUUCUUAAUA
Molecule: transfer RNA, 75 nt
Filed under: Eozapus setchuanus (Chinese jumping mouse)
Lineage: Eukaryota; Metazoa; Chordata; Mammalia; Rodentia; Dipodidae
Description: tRNA-Leu
Rfam family: tRNA
About the family: Transfer RNA (tRNA) molecules are approximately 80 nucleotides in length.
Source: RNAcentral